Acanthosepion pharaonis is the source of this 97-nucleotide non-coding RNA. NCBI's taxonomy places the organism in Eukaryota, Metazoa, Mollusca, Cephalopoda, Sepiida, Sepiidae. The record is from the annotation of a GenBank genome assembly.
CAUUGAAACACUAGUUCCCAUAUGAUCACUGAAGUUAAGCAAUGUAGAGUAUGAUCAGUACCUUGAUGGGUGACUGCUUAAGAAUACCAGGCAGGUG